GCUGUGGCAUGAACCUGUAGUCCCAGGAGUUACUUGGGAGGCUGAGGCUGGAGGAUCCCUUGAGCCCAGGAGUUCUGGGCUACAAUGUGCCAUGUGGAUCAGAUGUCCACACUAAGUUUGGGAUCAAUAUGGUGACUUCCCAGGAAUGGGAGACCACUGGGUUGCCUAAGGAGGAAUGAACUGGCCCAGGUGGGACACAGAGCAGAUCAAGACUCCCAUGCUGAUCAACAGCUUGGAGUCUAGCUUGAAGCUGACCAACUACACAGAGUUGCUCUGCAGUGUGAUGGCUUAAAUCUUAA
This is an unclassified non-coding RNA of 299 nucleotides. It matches the Rfam family "Metazoan signal recognition particle RNA". From Rfam's summary of the family: The signal recognition particle (SRP) is a universally conserved ribonucleoprotein. It is involved in the co-translational targeting of proteins to membranes. The record is from Ensembl.